RNAcentral lists this ribosomal RNA (464 nucleotides) under Vreelandella stevensii. Its description in RNAcentral is "partial 16S ribosomal RNA". It matches the Rfam family "Bacterial small subunit ribosomal RNA", at positions 338 to 794 of the family's 1533-position model. Lineage: Bacteria; Pseudomonadati; Pseudomonadota; Gammaproteobacteria; Oceanospirillales; Halomonadaceae. The record is from RNAcentral.
CCUACGGGGUGCAGCAGUGGGGAAUAUUGGACAAUGGGCGAAAGCCUGAUCCAGCCAUGCCGCGUGUGUGAAGAAGGCCUUCGGGUUGUAAAGCACUUUCAGUGGGGAAGAAAGCCUUGGGGCUAAUACCCUCGAGGAAGGACAUCACCCACAGAAGAAGCACCGGCUAACUCCGUGCCAGCAGCCGCGGUAAUACGGAGGGUGCGAGCGUUAAUCGGAAUUACUGGGCGUAAAGCGCGCGUAGGCGGUCUGAUAAGCCGGUUGUGAAAGCCCCGGGCUCAACCUGGGAACGGCAUCCGGAACUGUCAGGCUAGAGUGCAGGAGAGGAAGGUAGAAUUCCCGGUGUAGCGGUGAAAUGCGUAGAGAUCGGGAGGAAUACCAGUGGCGAAGGCGGCCUUCUGGACUGACACUGACGCUGAGGUGCGAAAGCGUGGGUAGCAAACAGGAUUAGAUACCCGUGUAUC